Molecule: ribosomal RNA, 253 nt
Filed under: uncultured bacterium
Lineage: Bacteria
Description: partial 16S ribosomal RNA
Rfam family: Bacterial small subunit ribosomal RNA
Source: RNAcentral
UACGUAGGGGGCAAGCGUUGUCCGGAUUUAUUGGGCGUAAAGAGCGUGUAGGCGGCCUGGAAGGUCAGCUGUGAAAACUCGAGGCUCAACCUCGAGACGUCGGUUGAAACCACCUGGCUAGAGUCCGGAAGAGGAGAGUGGAAUUCCCGGUGUAGCGGUGAAAUGCGCAGAUAUCGGGAAGAACACCCGUGGCGAAGGCGGCUCUCUGGGACGGUACUGACGCUGAGACGCGAAAGCGUGGGGAGCGAUCCGG